Molecule: ribosomal RNA, 252 nt
Filed under: uncultured bacterium
Lineage: Bacteria
Description: partial 16S ribosomal RNA
Rfam family: Bacterial small subunit ribosomal RNA
Source: RNAcentral
UACGGAGGAUGCGAGCGUUAUCCGGAUUUAUUGGGUUUAAAGGGUGCGUAGGCGGAAGGUUAAGUCAGCGGUCAAAUGUCGGUGCUCAACACCGGCCUGCCGUUGAAACUGGUCUUCUUGAGUGAGCGAGAAGUAUGCGGAAUGCGUGGUGUAGCGGUGAAAUGCAUAGAUAUCACGCAGAACUCCGAUUGCGAAGGCAGCAUACCGGCGCUCAACUGACGCUGAGGCACGAAAGCGUGGGGAUCGAACAGG